Molecule: ribosomal RNA, 421 nt
Filed under: uncultured Catonella sp.
Lineage: Bacteria; Bacillati; Bacillota; Clostridia; Lachnospirales; Lachnospiraceae
Description: bacterial SSU rRNA
Rfam family: Bacterial small subunit ribosomal RNA
Source: RNAcentral
UGGGGAAUAUUGCACAAUGGAGGAAACUCUGAUGCAGCGACGCCGCGUGAGUGAAGAAGUAUUUCGGUAUGUAAAGCUCUAUCAGCAGGGAAGAAGACGACGGUACCUGACUAAGAAGCCCCGGCUAACUCCGUGCCAGCAGCCGCGGUAAUACGGAGGAUGCGAGCGUUAUCCGGAUUUAUUGGGUUUAAAGGGUGCGCAGGCGGCGCGAAAAGUCAGCGGUCAAAGUUCCGGGCUCAACCCGGUGACGCCGUUGAAACUUUCGGGCUGGAGUUCGUGCGAGGGAGGCGGAAUGCGUUGUGUAGCGGUGAAAUGCAUAGAUAUGACGCAGAACCCCGAUUGCGAAGGCAGCUUUCCAGCACGCGACUGACGCUGAGGCACGAAAGCGUGGGGAGCGAACAGGAUUAGAUACCCUGGUAGU